Molecule: RNA transcript, 1853 nt
Organism: Vitis vinifera (wine grape)
Lineage: Eukaryota; Viridiplantae; Streptophyta; Magnoliopsida; Vitales; Vitaceae
Gene name: probable prolyl 4-hydroxylase 3
Exons: 8
Source: RefSeq, a predicted model, not a curated record
ACACAGGCACGCAGCCGCCGAAAUGCAAGCCAUGGCACAUUCAAAGUGACAGAAAGCCCCUUUAUUGCACAGUCAACCUACAGAAUGGAAGGGUAAUUUAGUCAUUUAAUAUUCUGCAAAAUUGAAAAUGAAAAACGGGGAUCCAAUGGGCGCUGCUCUUUAAAAGACCGGGCGCUUACAGGUAGUUAUUCAAAAUCUACAUAUUUAGAUACCGACGCUCUUGCUUGGAAGAUAGGGUCCUCUUGCAUUGGAAGUUAGGGUUUGGAGCUGCAACAAUGGCGAAAGGGAGGUAUUCUAGGGGACAUGGCAAGAGGUGGUCGACAUUAGCGCUCGUUCUUUCGCUGCUUCUUAUGCUAACAGUUGUUCUGCUCAUGCUUCUCGCUCUCGGAAUCGUCUCAUUGCCGAUCGGCACGGUAGAUUCCGAUGCGGCCAACGAUCUGAGCUCUUUCAGGCGCAAGACGUUCGAUGGAGGUGAAGGAUUGGGGAAGAGAGGAGAGCAGUGGACGGAAAUUGUCUCCUGGGAGCCCAGAGCUUUCAUUUAUCACAAUUUCUUGUCCAAGGAAGAAUGUGAGUACAUGAUAAGUCUUGCCAAACCUUAUAUGAAAAAGUCAACUGUUGUUGAUAGUGAAACUGGUCGGAGCAAAGAUAGCAGGGUGCGUACCAGUUCUGGAAUGUUUUUGAGGAGAGGGCGAGAUAAAAUCAUCAGGGACAUAGAGAAAAGAAUAGCUGACUUCACUUUCAUUCCCGUAGAGCAUGGAGAAGGACUUCAGGUUCUCCACUAUGAAGUUGGGCAGAAGUAUGACGCUCACUAUGAUUACUUCCUUGAUGAGUUUAACACUAAAAAUGGUGGCCAACGGAUAGCUACUCUUCUUAUGUAUCUGUCAGAUGUUGAAGAAGGUGGGGAGACUGUGUUUCCAGCUACCAAGGCAAAUUUCAGUUCUGUGCCAUGGUGGAAUGAGUUAUCUGAAUGUGGUAAAAAGGGCCUUUCUGUGAAACCAAAGAUGGGUGAUGCAUUGCUUUUCUGGAGCAUGAGGCCUGAUGCCACACUAGAUCCUUCAAGUUUGCAUGGCGGUUGCCCUGUGAUUAAAGGUAACAAGUGGUCAUCAACAAAGUGGAUGCAUGUAGAGGAGUACAAAGCCUAGGGUAUUCUUUUAAAGUGCUUCUCUAAACCCAUAUUUUAUUAGUAAUAUAUGAAAUCAUUUGUUGUUUGUUUCAGAUUCCAUCAAUUAAUGCAGUUAAAGUUUAGGGUAUUUUUUUGAGUGGCCCAAGUAACGAUGGUCUUGGUAACCUUGAGAAGGGUAUUCUGGGUUGCCGACUUCGGAAAGUUCAAAAGUCACAUCUAAUGGAUGUCUCUGGAUGUUUAAAAGAUGACACAGAGAUGAUGUUCCUGGAAUUAUAACCUUGUCAUGAUUUUUGCUUCUUGUUGAGCUGUCACUGGCUGCAUAUCCUAAAGGGACCCAAAAAUUGUUUCUUAGAGGACUGUGGGAAUAUGUUCUGAAACAUUGGAAAAUACCUAAUGAGAGCAUGCCCAAAAUUGAAGUGCAAAAGUUCAAAUCGUGCCUUAGUAUACGUAGCUGUGUUGAGUCUGAAAAUAACAAUCCACAUGGUCUGUCUCAUUAACCCUCAUUUCAAACAAAGCUACUGAAUUUGCAGUGUGGAACUUGUAUCUGGAGAAUGUAUUCUUGAAUUUUACACAGGAAGGGCAUUACUUUGUUAGAGUUAUCUUGGUAUCUUCCACAGUUUCUUAGGUAGAGAUGUCUCCUCUCCAAUGUGUUAUGGUGUAUGUGGAAGUAACCAUUAUGUAUACUGUGGUAGCUUUUAAGUAUAAUAUAUAUUUAUGCCUUUAACAUUUA